AAUGAAGUGCCUGAGCAAAGGAUUAUUUUGAUAGAAUAAAUCACGUAGAUUCACUUUACCUUCAUUA
RNAcentral lists this transfer RNA (67 nucleotides) under Selenophorus alternans. Its description in RNAcentral is "tRNA-Ile". Lineage: Eukaryota; Metazoa; Arthropoda; Insecta; Coleoptera; Carabidae. The record is from RNAcentral.